Molecule: long non-coding RNA, 1942 nt
Organism: Drosophila persimilis
Lineage: Eukaryota; Metazoa; Arthropoda; Insecta; Diptera; Drosophilidae
Exons: 8
Source: RefSeq, a predicted model, not a curated record
CUGCUGCUGCGUCUGCUGCUGAGUCUGCUGCUGCGUCUGCUGCUGCGUCGCUGGAUCGGGAUCCCCCUCGUAAUCUGGCAGGAUUAUCCUUUGGACAGAAAGUGGCUGGCCAAAGAUAAGAGCCACUAUUCUUUCUCGGGGAGUUUGGCCGCUGAGCUCCUCCUCUUCGAGACGGACCAGCGUUGGAAGCGAUUCCUCGGAGAUGGCCGGAUCUGGAUGUUGAUGAUGAUGGCUGCUCCGAUCCUGAUUUUGAGGCUGCAGCGGGCGGAAGUGUUGGAGCAGCUGUUGCAGAUAACGUGGUCUCUGCAAUCGCUGUGGUUCAUACGGCUGCAGUAAUAGUUUCCGAGCCUCCGGAUUGACAUGGCAAGCCAAGGAGUUGGCGAAGCGCCCACUUGCCGCAUGGAACACUUCGUCGAUUGUGUCUAGAUUGCUUUGCACCCGUCGCAGCUGGGAAUCGGAUGUAAGUGCGCCCCAAACCGGAAGACCAUAUUGCCAAAUGGGCAUGAUGAGCUGCUUGAUGACUAUAGCCUUGGUUUCGCUUGGUAGCCGGCUUUUUGGGCCAGCAAGCCAGUCCAGUUUGGCCGCUCUUGAUCGGAGUUUUGUGCAGAUCCUCGUGAUGUGUGAGCUUAGGGUGAUUUGGACAGCUCCAAUGCAUCCACAAUCUGCAUCAGCUCAGGCAGUGUGACUGGUCUGAAGGGAAUCCUGGUUUCCUGGUCCGGUUGUAGCUGCUUCUGCCGUUUUGACUGCUCACGCUCUCUAUUGAUUGCGGCCCGCUCUUCAUCUGAAUUGGACAGUAUCGGGCUGAAUCUCUCCUCCAGGAUUGUGAGCCCCUUGUUAAGACGAUUUUGCGCCGCCCUGUAGUUUCGUCUGGCUUCGAUGGUGCGGGUCGCCAGCCAGAUCCUCUUGCACUGCUGUUUGAUGGAGAGCAGCUCGCUUGUAGCCUCGUCCAGCUUGAGGUGAUGGUGCCGGUGAUGUUGCUGUGACCGCUGCUGAUGAUGAUGCUGACGCUGCUGUGGCCAUCUUCGAUGAGUGUUUGGAUGCUGCUGUUGGUGUUGUGUUGUUGCUGCUGCUGCUGCUACCCGUAUAUUGUUCAAAAACAAGUAAACGACGUCAUCAAUGUCCUGCGCUAUCCUAAUCUCGGUGUUGAGAUUGAUCAACCGUUCCAGCGACUUUUGGAACAGGCUGAUAUUGGCACGUGCUGGGAGCAGAUGUUUCCUGACUGUGGGCGUAGGAUGUCUACGUCCACCGCUGCCGAUCGUCAACUCCACCCUGAGCAGCAAGUGAUCAGAGUCCAAAUCCGAGCUUGAACGGAUACUCAGGGAUAGUGUGUGGCACCACCGGUGGCCAGCAAAUUGCAGCCGUUGUUGGUGUGUACAGCCUCCAUCAGUGCUUUCCCUCUGGCGCAUCCACGGGCAUUUCCCCACCACAUAUGCUUCGCGUUCCAGUCACCGCAUACAAGGAAGCCGGAUGCUGUUUCUUCGACGCAGAGUUCUUCAAAAUGUCUUAUCAAUCCAUGAAGACGAUGACAGGUGCACUCUGGAUGAAUGGCUUUGAAAUUGGCUGCAGAGCAGAGUGGGUGACAUCGUCCCGGACCAGGAUGGCUACUCCCCCUCUGCGAUCGUUUGCCGGAUUUUGUGCAGUGAAAACUUCGACCUCGUUCAACUUGUUUGUCACACCACACGCGUUCCAGAAGGCAAUUUUAAAAGUGUUGCCGUUCUGGCUGACGCUGUGGGUGGAGAUAGUCUGUACUGGAUUGACUUUUUGGUUUGACAGGCCAUUCGGGACUGGACUAUACAUAAAAGGCAUCAUUGGCGGAGGACAGGGCCAUGUCCAAAGAGUUUGGUGAACUGCUAUUUGUUGUUUUGCUUGUCUUAUUUGUAUUGAUGUUUAUUAAUUUAACUAUUGCAGAAAAUAGACUAUCGAUUUUGGCCUCAAGUCUUGA